This 253-nucleotide ribosomal RNA is filed under the name uncultured bacterium. Its description in RNAcentral is "partial 16S ribosomal RNA". It matches the Rfam family "Bacterial small subunit ribosomal RNA", at positions 524 to 776 of the family's 1533-position model. The record is from RNAcentral.
UACGUAGGGGGCAAGCGUUGUCCGGAAUCAUUGGGCGUAAAGCGCGCGUAGGCGGCCCGGUAAGUCCGCUGUGAAAGUCAAAGGCUCAACCUUUGAAUGCCGGUGGAUACUGCCGGGCUAGAGUCCGGAAGAGGCGAGUGGAAUUCCUGGUGUAGCGGUGGAAUGCGCAGAUAUCAGGAGGAACACCAAUAGCGAAGGCAGCUCGCUGGGACGGUACUGACGCUGAGACGCGAAAGCGUGGGGAGCGAACAGG